UACAGAUUGCAGAAGACGUCCGCUCUUGAGACCAUGCUUGCUCUAUUCCGACUCGAAAUAUUUGCAUUUAACAUGGCUAGGAAAAGGUUAUUUCUGUGCUUAUUUUUAAGUCAGUAUUAUAAUACAUGACUUAAGGAUGCAGAAAAUGUACUUUAUAUUAUAAAACAUUAUUGUGCAUGUUGGAGCGAUGCGACUAGGCCUCAUCAGCGUGGAAAUGCGGAGGUCCCGUAUUAAACUCUGAUCCAUGCGGUGGUUUUGAGCUACACGAGGUCUGAAGGAUGAUGGCCCGCAAUGACUUUAACGAGGAAUAGGUUUCGGUGUGGACAGAUCCCAGCAUUAGCAACAUGCAAUCAGACUGCGGUGCUCUGGAAAUAAAUGAGCUGUAAGUUAUAGCUGACGCCAGGACUCAAAUUAACAUGCAUUUUAAAACAGGAAGUCUAAACUGUAGGAGUAUGUCCUGUAUAAAUAAAGCAUUUCUUAACCAGCACA
Perca flavescens (yellow perch) is the source of this 489-nucleotide long non-coding RNA. RefSeq lists it as uncharacterized. The transcript has 4 exons. NCBI's taxonomy places the organism in Eukaryota, Metazoa, Chordata, Actinopteri, Perciformes, Percidae. The record is from RefSeq and is a predicted model, not a curated record.